GGAGAGUUGUCCGAGUGGUCGAAGGUGCAGCACUCGAAAUGCUGUGUCCCGAAAGGGACCUAGGGUUCGAAUCCCUAACUCUCCG
Molecule: transfer RNA, 85 nt
Filed under: Oscillospiraceae bacterium
Lineage: Bacteria; Bacillati; Bacillota; Clostridia; Eubacteriales; Oscillospiraceae
Description: tRNA-Ser
Rfam family: tRNA
About the family: Transfer RNA (tRNA) molecules are approximately 80 nucleotides in length. Their secondary structure includes four short double-helical elements and three loops (D, anti-codon, and T loops).
Source: RNAcentral